RNAcentral lists this ribosomal RNA (723 nucleotides) under uncultured beta proteobacterium. Its description in RNAcentral is "bacterial SSU rRNA". It matches the Rfam family "Bacterial small subunit ribosomal RNA", at positions 58 to 776 of the family's 1533-position model. Lineage: Bacteria; Pseudomonadati; Pseudomonadota; Betaproteobacteria. The record is from RNAcentral.
CAAGUCGAACGGCAGCGCGGGAGCAAUCCUGGCGGCGAGUGGCGAACGGGUGAGUAAUAUAUCGGAACGUGCCCAGUAGUGGGGGGUAGCCCGGCGAAAGCCGGAUUAAUACCGCAUACGACCUGAGGGUGAAAGCGGGGGAUCGCAAGACCUCGCGCUACUGGAGCGGCCGAUAUCAGAUUAGCUAGUUGGUGGGGUAAGGGCCUACCAAGGCAACGAUCUGUAGUUGGUCUGAGAGGACGACCAGCCACACUGGGACUGAGACACGGCCCAGACUCCUACGGGAGGCAGCAGUGGGGAAUUUUGGACAAUGGGCGCAAGCCUGAUCCAGCAAUGCCGCGUGCAGGAAGAAGGCCUUCGGGUUGUAAACUGCUUUUGUCAGGGAAGAAAUCUUCUGGGCUAAUACCCCGGGAGGAUGACGGUACCUGAAGAAUAAGCACCGGCUAACUACGUGCCAGCAGCCGCGGUAAUACGUAGGGUGCGAGCGUUAAUCGGAAUUACUGGGCGUAAAGCGUGCGCAGGCGGCUUUGCAAGACAGAGGUGAAAUCCCCGGGCUCAACCUGGGAACUGCCUUUGUGACUGCAAGGCUAGAGUACGGCAGAGGGGGGUGGAAUUCCGCGUGUAGCAGUGAAAUGCGUAGAUAUGCGGAGGAACACCGAUGGCGAAGGCAAUCCCCUGGGCCUGUACUGACGCUCAUGCACGAAAGCGUGGGGAGCAAACAGG